RNAcentral lists this ribosomal RNA (253 nucleotides) under uncultured bacterium. RNAcentral describes it as "partial 16S ribosomal RNA". It matches the Rfam family "Bacterial small subunit ribosomal RNA", at positions 524 to 776 of the family's 1533-position model. The record is from RNAcentral.
UACGUAGGGUGCAAGCGUUGUCCGGAAUUAUUGGGCGUAAAGAGCUCGUAGGCGGUCUGUCGCGUCGGAUGUGAAACCUCGGGGCUCAACCCCGAGCCUGCAUUCGAUACGGGCAGACUAGAGUUCGGUAGGGGAGACUGGAAUUCCUGGUGUAGCGGUGAAAUGCGCAGAUAUCAGGAGGAACACCGGUGGCGAAGGCGGGUCUCUGGGCCGAUAUUGACGCUGAGGAGCGAAAGCGUGGGGAGCGAACAGG